This 873-nucleotide ribosomal RNA is filed under the name marine metagenome. RNAcentral's name for it is "bacterial SSU rRNA". It matches the Rfam family "Bacterial small subunit ribosomal RNA", at positions 65 to 926 of the family's 1533-position model. The record is from RNAcentral.
ACAUUUUGAUUUUGCUUGCAAAAUCUCGUGCUGACGAGCGGCGAACGGGUGAGUAACGCGUAGGAAUCUACCUAGUAGAAGGGGAUAGCCCGAGGAAACUCGGAUUAAUACCGUAUACGUCCUUAGGGAGAAAGAGGGCUUAGCUUUGAUGCUCUCGCUAUUAGAUGAGCCUGCGUAAGAUUAGCUUGUUGGUGAGGUAAAGGCUCACCAAGGCGACGAUCUUUAGCUGGUCUGAGAGGACGAUCAGCCACAUUGGGACUGAGACACGGCCCAGACUCCUACGGGAGGCAGCAGUGGGGAAUAUUGGACAAUGGGCGCAAGCCUGAUCCAGCCAUACCGCGUGUGUGAAGAAGGCCUUCGGGUUGUAAAGCACUUUAAGUAAGGAAGAAAAGAGUAUUGUUAAUACCAGUACUCCGUGACAUUACUUACAGAAUAAGGACCGGCUAAUUCCGUGCCAGCAGCCGCGGUAAUACGGAAGGUCCAAGCGUUAAUCGGAAUUACUGGGCGUAAAGCGCGCGUAGGUGGUUUAUUAAGUUGGGUGUGAAAGCCCCGGGCUCAACCUGGGAACUGCAUCCAAAACUGAUUCACUAGAGUACGAAAGAGGAAAGUAGAAUUCACAGUGUAGCGGUGGAAUGCGUAGAUAUUGUGAAGAAUACCGAUGGCGAAGGCAGCUUUCUGGUUCUGUACUGACACUGAGGUGCGAAAGCGUGGGUAGCGAACAGGAUUAGAUACCCUGGUAGUCCACGCCGUAAACGAUGACAACUAGCUGUUGGGAAGCUAUGCUUUUCAGUGGCGCAGCUAACGUCUUAAGUUGUCCGCCUGGGGAGUACGGCCGCAAGGUUAAAACUCAAAUGAAUUGACGGGGACCCGCAC